RNAcentral lists this ribosomal RNA (429 nucleotides) under Bacillota bacterium. RNAcentral describes it as "Firmicutes bacterium partial 16S ribosomal RNA". It matches the Rfam family "Bacterial small subunit ribosomal RNA", at positions 355 to 776 of the family's 1533-position model. Lineage: Bacteria; Bacillati; Bacillota. The record is from RNAcentral.
UGGGGAAUAUUGCACAAUGGGCGCAAGCCUGAUGCAGCCAUGCCGCGUGUAUGAAGAAGGCCUUCGGGUUGUAAAGUACUUUCAGCGGGGAGGAAGGCGCUGGGGUUAAUAACCCUGUCGAUUGACGUUACCCGCAGAAGAAGCACCGGCUAACUCCGUGCCAGCAGCCGCGGUAAUACGGAGGGUGCAAGCGUUAAUCGGAAUUACUGGGCGUAAAGCGCACGCAGGCGGUCUGUUAAGUCAGAUGUGAAAUCCCCGGGCUUAACCUGGGAACCGCAUUUGAAACUGGCAGGCUUGAGUCUUGUAGAGGGGGGUAGAAUUCCAGGGGUAGCCGUGAAAUGCGUAGAGAUCUGGAGGAAUACCGGUGGCGAAGGCGGCCCCCUGGACAAAGACUGACGCUCAGGUGCGAAAGCGUGGGGAGCGAACAGG